RNAcentral lists this transfer RNA (85 nucleotides) under Felis catus (domestic cat). It matches the Rfam family "tRNA". Rfam says of the family: Transfer RNA (tRNA) molecules are approximately 80 nucleotides in length. The record is from Rfam by way of RNAcentral. RNAcentral also lists the same sequence under 3 other names. Lineage: Eukaryota; Metazoa; Chordata; Mammalia; Carnivora; Felidae.
GCCUGGGUGGCUCAGUCGGUUAAGUGUCUGACUUCAGCUUAGGUCAUGACCUCACGGCUUGUGGGUUCAAGCCCCGCAUCAGGCU